This 250-nucleotide ribosomal RNA is filed under the name uncultured bacterium. RNAcentral's name for it is "partial 16S ribosomal RNA". It matches the Rfam family "Bacterial small subunit ribosomal RNA", at positions 809 to 1058 of the family's 1533-position model. The record is from RNAcentral.
AUGUCUACUCGGAGUUUGGUGUCUUGAACACUGGGCUCUCAAGCUAACGCAUUAAGUAGACCGCCUGGGGAGUACGGCCGCAAGGUUAAAACUCAAAUGAAUUGACGGGGGCCCGCACAAGCGGUGGAGCAUGUGGUUUAAUUCGAUGCAACGCGAAGAACCUUACCUACUCUUGACAUCCACAGAAGCCAGUAGAGAUACAGGUGUGCCUUCGGGAACUGUGAGACAGGUGCUGCAUGGCUGUCGUCAG